GCCACUUCCAUAUCAUUUUCCAUAUUGUUUUGUGUUUUGGGUCUAUCCUUGCUUCUGUAAAUACAAUAGACAACCAAUUGAAGGAUGCCUGUUGCACACCCAACACAGUUUGGCGACUUCAGAAGAAAACGGAUAGGUCCAGAUUGCAUAAGAAGUUCGUUUUACAAUAGCAGGUGAGCCCCCUGCUUUUAUUAUUUCAUUUAUAUAUGCACAAAAGUUUUUUUUUCAUUUGACUAGAUUGCAUAUGAAAUUACUAACCGUGAUAUAGGGAUCCCUCCCUAGGAGUCCAUAUACCAUCCAGAUUAAACUGGUUAAGAAGGAAAAUAAUGACAAGUAGAAAGGCAUGAACUCAACACUUCUCGUCCUUACAACUUGUUUCUGCAAUUGUGAGAGUGCAAAAAAGGUUAAAUUACUAGACAAUGUGCCAAAAAAUAAAAAAGCAUCAAUUGCAUCAUUAGAAACUACUUUCUUCAUUUUUUUCCUUGUCUAUAUUAAUGCAUUUUCUGUAGUAAUUUAGUAUAUGAGAAGUAUUCAUUGAGUUGUAUUUCUUAUGGUACUUAUUCUAGUUUCGUACUUCUUGUAGCAUGAGUUUUAAAUGAUUUUGCCAUGAUGCCUUUAACUGUUUGUAUCUGUAGUCCCUGUUUCUAGAGCUUCUAUAACUAAUAGUACUCACCACAGCAACAAGGGGAGAGCUGUACAUCAGCAUGGCAGACAACACACCAAUACUUCCAACAAAUAUGUUGCGGAUGUGGUGGGUGUGGAUUGUAAAGCUUGAGAUUAAUACGGUCAUGCCGAAGAUUGCCAGAACCAGUGAUACAAUUAGGAUAACAAGCUUCUGCAAGUUAGUCAGGAUUCUUGGUCAGCUUAUGAAUAUUGAAUCCUUUUUUAGGGCAUAAUUUGGUUCUUUCAAAAACUCCAUGCUGACAUGCUUAAAACUUGAGUAUUCCUACCUGAACAAAACUAAUAACACACAGUAUAUUUCUUUAAAAGAUAAAUGAAAAAAAGUUCAAAUAUUCGUUAUGUAUUGCAUGUGUCGUAGAAGAAUAUGUGAUUCGAUUUUGUAAAUUAGACAUCCAUUUUAGCAGGAUUACUUGAACAUAAAGAUUGAGGAAUUCCAUCAUGGACUCAAUAAUUGCUUACCACAGCAUGAAAAUAAGGAAUUUAUUAGCUUUGAAGUUUGAACUGUACACUGGUUACGCAAGCUAUAACAUAUUGAGUGGGCAGUAUGUAGAAUUUUCUACCGUAUAGUCCCCCCCCCUUUUAUUAUUUUUUUUUUGGGGGGGGGGGGUGCUAUCUGCUUCUGUUUUUUUUUUUUACAUUUUUAAACCUUCUGAUGUCCUAGUGUCUACUUGAGCUUACCGUAUCAAGUAUGUGAUAGUGAAACUGGCUAUAGAAGCCUGACAGAGAUUAACAUAAGCUACCGUAAAAGGAGCAAUAUUGAGUUCUUUAGAAACGAUUUACCUUUUUUUCUCUUGGUGCAAACCAUAGGUAUAUGCUGAUGAAUGAUAUUUCAAAGAGUACUCCUAUUGAGCUGAUGAGGAAAACUGUCAAGUUCUUCCACCCAGAACUAACAACUGGAAAACCGUACCAGCUAUAUGUGAGGCAGCUGAACAGAGUCAGGAUAUAUGAAUGAAGCAACUCGGUGGCUCAAGGGUGGUUGUGCUUGGUGGUGACUGGUGAAGAAUAUUGCAUAUGAUGAGCUGUUCUGCUAGAAGAUGGGAGUGGUGAAGAAUAUUUUUGAUGAUUCAUGUACAUUAACUGCCACGUUUGAUGUCAGGCUUCUGGUCGUGCCAUCCCACUCCUUUUUUUUCCCAGAUUCUUCGCAGGUGCAUCGUUUGUACGAUGAGUUCUUUCCUAUCUCGAUCUGGUCAAGAAUUCAUGGUUUUGCUUAGGUGGCACAUACAGAUUGUAAGUAGUAAGUAUAUAUAUGGAAGGUACUUCGUCAAUGUUCAAUAGAAAUCAUCGCAAGCCUAGCACAAGUGCAGAACAUUUGGGCACCUGAAUGGGUGUAAGGAGUGUAACUUCCAUACGCUCCUACAAAUGGGAGUUUGCACGCUUCAACUAUUGCACACUUGCUUCGAGUGCAAAUUAUGAAGUUGCACAUUGACAUGAUGUUAAUAUAACUGCUGAAUAGGCAAACACGAUCAAAG
This is a long non-coding RNA of Setaria italica (foxtail millet), 2150 nucleotides long. RefSeq lists it as uncharacterized. The transcript is spliced from 3 exons. The record is from RefSeq and is a predicted model, not a curated record. Lineage: Eukaryota; Viridiplantae; Streptophyta; Magnoliopsida; Poales; Poaceae.